UAAUAUCUUCGGGGCGAGGUGAAAGUCCUCACCGGCGGUAAAGUCCGCGAGAGUUUUAUACUCCGAUUCGGUGCAAUUCCGAAACCGACAGUAGAGUCUGGAUGAAAGAAGAUUGCU
Molecule: non-coding RNA, 117 nt
Filed under: Clostridiales bacterium KA00134
Lineage: Bacteria; Bacillati; Bacillota; Clostridia; Eubacteriales
Also listed under: 1 other name
Description: FMN riboswitch aptamer (RFN element)
Rfam family: FMN riboswitch aptamer (RFN element)
About the family: The RFN element is a highly conserved domain that is found frequently in the 5'-untranslated regions of prokaryotic mRNAs that encode for flavin mononucleotide (FMN) biosynthesis and transport proteins. This element is a metabolite-dependent riboswitch that directly binds FMN in the absence of proteins. In Bacillus subtilis, the riboswitch most likely controls gene expression by causing premature transcription termination within the 5' untranslated region of the ribDEAHT operon and precluding access to the ribosome-binding site of ypaA mRNA.
Source: Rfam by way of RNAcentral